RNAcentral lists this ribosomal RNA (465 nucleotides) under uncultured bacterium. RNAcentral describes it as "partial 16S ribosomal RNA". It matches the Rfam family "Bacterial small subunit ribosomal RNA", at positions 339 to 795 of the family's 1533-position model. The record is from RNAcentral.
CUACGGGCGGCUGCAGUGGGGAAUAUUGCACAAUGGGCGCAAGCCUGAUGCAGCCAUGCCGCGUGUAUGAAGAAGGCCUUCGGGUUGUAAAGUACUUUCAGCGGGGAGGAAGGGAGUAAAGUUAAUACCUUUGCUCAUUGACGUUACCCGCAGAAGAAGCACCGGCUAACUCCGUGCCAGCAGGCCGCGGUAAUACGGAGGGUGCAAGCGUUAAUCGGAAUUACUGGGCGUAAAGCGCACGCAGGCGGUUUGUUAAGUCAGAUGUGAAAUCCCCGGGCUCAACCGGGGAACUGCAUCUGAUACUGGCAAGCGUGAGUCUCGUAGAGGGGGGUAGAAUUCCAGGUGUAGCGGUGAAAUGCGUAGAGAUCUGGAGGAAUACCGGUGGCGAAGGCGGCCCCCUGGACGAAGACUGACGCUCAGGUGCGAAAGCGUGGGGAGCAAACAGGAUUAGAUACCCGUGUAGUC